CCGCCGUGUUUCUCUCCUCCUCUUCCGACGCUUCUCUGGCAACAGGAAGGUGAAAGGGAGCAAUAUCAACAUAGGAGUGUUGUUUAUAUUCGAUGUUAGGUUUGCGUUCUUGACGACAAUGGGGAAGAGAUGUCGCACGUAUAAAAUCACAUAUCUACCCUCAUAAGUGUUGUGUGGCCAUCAUGGUCGACUCUAGGGAUCCUAUAAUGUUCUAGACUUCUAGUGUGAUGUUGUGGAUCAACAGCUUCCUCGGCCGUAUUAGUACGGGAUGUGUUUACAGUAUCCGUCUCAACAAAAUCAUCGGAGUUUGCUUCCAGUCUUGCUAGAAGAAUACUUAAGGAAAGAAGAGCUUGUCUCACACCUAAUAUGGUGAGCACACUAAUGGCCGUGAAGGAUAUGGAGCUAGCCAACUUAGAGCUCAACACACUUCGGUGAAUCCAGAGCUGCUAACGGCAUUUCAAAAUACUCCCUCCUUUUCAAAAAGAAUGGCACACACGCAUUUCG
This 504-nucleotide long non-coding RNA is filed under the name Brachypodium distachyon (stiff brome). RNAcentral describes it as "long non-coding RNA (BDIS_LNC002512)". The record is from RNAcentral. Lineage: Eukaryota; Viridiplantae; Streptophyta; Magnoliopsida; Poales; Poaceae.